AAUCAUGGCUCAGGAUGAACGCUAGCGGCAGGCUUAACACAUGCAAGUCGAGGGGCAGCGGGGUGUAGCAAUACACUGCCGGCGACCGGCGCACGGGUGCGUAACGCGUAUGCAACCUACCCAUAACAGGGGCAUAACACUGAGAAAUUGGUACUAAUUCCCCAUAACAUUCGAAGAGGCAUCUCUUUGGGUUGAAAACUCCGGUGGUUAUGGAUGGGCAUGCGUUGUAUUAGCUAGUUGGUGAGG
RNAcentral lists this ribosomal RNA (246 nucleotides) under uncultured bacterium. RNAcentral describes it as "partial 16S ribosomal RNA". It matches the Rfam family "Bacterial small subunit ribosomal RNA", at positions 15 to 257 of the family's 1533-position model. The record is from RNAcentral.